CAAAUCAGCAGAGGAAACUGAUGGCAGAAGUGGAUCAUUGCCCUUUAUGUCUCCACAGGAAAUCACUUAUUACCUAAAAAGUUGCUUGCAAAUGAGAAAGAUAAGCUCUUUUUGACUCCUAUUUAAAUAUUAUGCUAAACAGAAAAAGUUGAUAAUCUAUGUAUUGCUUGUUUUUAAAGAAAAGAUGGAAGCAUAUCACUUUUUGUUAAAUGCAUCUAUUGUGCAUUACACCCCUAGUAUAGAGAAAGCCCAUAUCAAGUCCAAGCAACAAUGAACAAAUAUAGUCAGAGCGUGUGGGAGCAGCUACCUAUAAAGAUUCUGUCCUCCCAGAGAACAUCCCAGGCAUGGAAGUGACACACUGCCUACCAACUGCCUACAUUUGAUUUUAUAAACAUCCUCUUUUCUGUGAGUAAACCAUGUAUGUUGGUUUCUUCUGUUAUUUUGUGUGCAAAUAGUCAUCAUUAAAACCUAUCUGUAAUUUCAGUGUGAGAAUACAGGUCUUUUCCAAAUAAGAAAGGGAAUAAAAAUUCAGAUUUGGAAACAUUCUAUAUAAAAUCUUGGGUCUCUGCUUGGGUAUAUACUAGAUGUUUAAACUUAGGAAAAUGAUUUAAUUUCUUGGAAGUUCUGACUUCUGAUCAGAAAAUGAAGAUAGUAACAUUUUGCAGAUGUUUUUGUGUUUUAUACAUGUAAAAUACUAACAUAGUACCAGUCACACGACAGACACUCAAUAAAUGAUAGCAAUUGUUUUCAUUGCUGCUACUGUUUUUAUCACAGGAUGAAAAACUUCCAUUUGUGCUUUACGCAAGGAUGCUCCCUUUCCAAACAGGCAAAAGAGUAAAAACGAUCCCCAUGACUUAUGAAAGACAGCUUUUUAAAGUGUAUUGGAGUCUCUACAAUGUACUUUUUAUGGUGAUCCUAACAGUUUUCUCAAGACAGACAUAAUGGAGAAUCUGCCGUAAUCUACCUCUACAUGACAACAGCUUGACCCUAGCAACUAACACAAUCCAUCACCUGCUGUCGAGCAACCAAGAGCAAGAAAAGAAGUGGUUAGAAAAGGUACCACCAGCUCUGGAGCUUUUAUGGUCAGUAAAGUAUGGAAGAACCAAAAUAGGCUCUCAAAGUAAAUCAGAGCACAGCAAAUACUUCUCUAAACCAAGUUCUGAUUUUAUACUAUAGGAGAGAAAAAAAAUGUUACAUUUGAAUAUAUUUUAUGACACUGUAAGUUAUGCCUGAGAGAAAAAUGUAUUUAAUAAUUUUUUGCAGUAAUCAAUAUAUAACUUAAGAUUCAGAAAUAUUUCCUUUGGAUACCUUUUUUUCCUUAAAAAUACAAAAAAAAAAAU
Molecule: long non-coding RNA, 1340 nt
Filed under: Macaca fascicularis (crab-eating macaque)
Lineage: Eukaryota; Metazoa; Chordata; Mammalia; Primates; Cercopithecidae
Description: lncRNA (ENSMFAG00000062780.1)
Source: RNAcentral